This 1538-nucleotide ribosomal RNA is filed under the name Klebsiella pneumoniae. RNAcentral's name for it is "bacterial SSU rRNA". It matches the Rfam family "Bacterial small subunit ribosomal RNA". The record is from RNAcentral. Lineage: Bacteria; Pseudomonadati; Pseudomonadota; Gammaproteobacteria; Enterobacterales; Enterobacteriaceae.
AAAUUGAAGAGUUUGAUCAUGGCUCAGAUUGAACGCUGGCGGCAGGCCUAACACAUGCAAGUCGAGCGGUAGCACAGAGAGCUUGCUCUCGGGUGACGAGCGGCGGACGGGUGAGUAAUGUCUGGGAAACUGCCUGAUGGAGGGGGAUAACUACUGGAAACGGUAGCUAAUACCGCAUAAUGUCGCAAGACCAAAGUGGGGGACCUUCGGGCCUCAUGCCAUCAGAUGUGCCCAGAUGGGAUUAGCUAGUAGGUGGGGUAACGGCUCACCUAGGCGACGAUCCCUAGCUGGUCUGAGAGGAUGACCAGCCACACUGGAACUGAGACACGGUCCAGACUCCUACGGGAGGCAGCAGUGGGGAAUAUUGCACAAUGGGCGCAAGCCUGAUGCAGCCAUGCCGCGUGUGUGAAGAAGGCCUUCGGGUUGUAAAGCACUUUCAGCGGGGAGGAAGGCGGUGAGGUUAAUAACCUCACCGAUUGACGUUACCCGCAGAAGAAGCACCGGCUAACUCCGUGCCAGCAGCCGCGGUAAUACGGAGGGUGCAAGCGUUAAUCGGAAUUACUGGGCGUAAAGCGCACGCAGGCGGUCUGUCAAGUCGGAUGUGAAAUCCCCGGGCUCAACCUGGGAACUGCAUUCGAAACUGGCAGGCUAGAGUCUUGUAGAGGGGGUAGAAUUCCAGGUGUAGCGGUGAAAUGCGUAGAGAUCUGGAGGAAUACCGGUGGCGAAGGCGGCCCCUGGACAAAGACUGACGCUCAGGUGCGAAAGCGUGGGGAGCAAACAGGAUUAGAUACCCUGGUAGUCCACGCCGUAAACGAUGUCGAUUUGGAGGUUGUGCCCUUGAGGCGUGGCUUCCGGAGCUAACGCGUUAAAUCGACCGCCUGGGGAGUACGGCCGCAAGGUUAAAACUCAAAUGAAUUGACGGGGGCCCGCACAAGCGGUGGAGCAUGUGGUUUAAUUCGAUGCAACGCGAAGAACCUUACCUGGUCUUGACAUCCACAGAACUUUCCAGAGAUGGAUUGGUGCCUUCGGGAACUGUGAGACAGGUGCUGCAUGGCUGUCGUCAGCUCGUGUUGUGAAAUGUUGGGUUAAGUCCCGCAACGAGCGCAACCCUUAUCCUUUGUUGCCAGCGGUCCGGCCGGGAACUCAAAGGAGACUGCCAGUGAUAAACUGGAGGAAGGUGGGGAUGACGUCAAGUCAUCAUGGCCCUUACGACCAGGGCUACACACGUGCUACAAUGGCAUAUACAAAGAGAAGCGACCUCGCGAGAGCAAGCGGACCUCAUAAAGUAUGUCGUAGUCCGGAUUGGAGUCUGCAACUCGACUCCAUGAAGUCGGAAUCGCUAGUAAUCGUAGAACAGAAUGCUACGGUGAAUACGUUCCCGGGCCUUGUACACACCGCCCGUCACACCAUGGGAGUGGGUUGCAAAAGAAGUAGGUAGCUUAACCUUCGGGAGGGCGCUUACCACUUUGUGAUUCAUGACUGGGGUGAAGUCGUAACAAGGUAACCGUAGGGGAACCUGCGGUUGGAUCACCUCCUUA